This 86-nucleotide transfer RNA is filed under the name Flavobacterium sp. SOK18b. RNAcentral's name for it is "tRNA-Leu". It matches the Rfam family "tRNA". Rfam says of the family: Transfer RNA (tRNA) molecules are approximately 80 nucleotides in length. Their secondary structure includes four short double-helical elements and three loops (D, anti-codon, and T loops). Further hydrogen bonds mediate the characteristic L-shaped molecular structure. tRNAs have two regions of fundamental functional importance: the anti-codon, which is responsible for specific mRNA codon recognition, and the 3' end, to which the tRNAs corresponding amino acid is attached (by aminoacyl-tRNA synthetases). tRNAs cope with the degeneracy of the genetic code in two manners: having more than one tRNA (with a specific anti-codon) for a particular amino acid; and 'wobble' base-pairing, i.e. permitting non-standard base-pairing at the 3rd anti-codon position. Lineage: Bacteria; Pseudomonadati; Bacteroidota; Flavobacteriia; Flavobacteriales; Flavobacteriaceae. The record is from RNAcentral. RNAcentral also lists the same sequence under 1 other name.
GGCCACGUGGAGAAACGGUAGACUUGCCAUCUUGAGGGGGUGGUGCUCGAAAGGGCGUGUGGGUUCAAAUCCCACCGUGGUCACAA